This 253-nucleotide ribosomal RNA is filed under the name uncultured bacterium. RNAcentral describes it as "partial 16S ribosomal RNA". It matches the Rfam family "Bacterial small subunit ribosomal RNA", at positions 524 to 776 of the family's 1533-position model. The record is from RNAcentral.
UACGUAGGGUGCAAGCGUUGUCCGGAAUUAUUGGGCGUAAAGAGCUUGUAGGCGGUUUGUCGCGUCUGCUGUGAAAUUUCGGGGCUCAACCCCGAACUUGCAGUGGGUACGGGCAGACUAGAGUGUGGUAGGGGAGACUGGAAUUCCUGGUGUAGCGGUGAAAUGCGCAGAUAUCAGGAGGAACACCGAUGGCGAAGGCAGGUCUCUGGGCCGACACUGACGCUGAGGCGCGAAAGCCAGGGGAGCGAACGGG